GAGGGAUCAUUACCGAGUUUACAACUCCCAAACCCCUGUGAACAUACCACUUGUUGCCUCGGCGGAUCAGCCCGCUCCCGGUAAAACGGGACGGCCCGCCAGAGGACCCCUAAACUCUGUUUCUAUAUGUAACUUCUGAGUAAAACCAUAAAUAAAUCAAAACUUUCAACAACGGAUCUCUUGGUUCUGGCAUCGAUGAAGAACGCAGCAAAAUGCGAUAAGUAAUGUGAAUUGCAGAAUUCAGUGAAUCAUCGAAUCUUUGAACGCACAUUGCGCCCGCCAGUAUUCUGGCGGGCAUGCCUGUUCGAGCGUCAUUUCAACCCUCAAGCACAGCUUGGUGUUGGGACUCGCGUUAAUUCGCGUUCCUCAAAUUGAUUGGCGGUCACGUCGAGCUUCCAUAGCGUAGUAGUAAAACCCUCGUUACUGGUAAUCGUCGCGGCCACGCCGUUAAACCCCAACUUCUGAAUGUUGACCUCGGAUCAGGUAGGAAUACCCG
This 496-nucleotide ribosomal RNA is filed under the name uncultured Fusarium. RNAcentral's name for it is "eukaryotic LSU rRNA". The stretch from base 161 to 314 matches the Rfam family "5.8S ribosomal RNA". Lineage: Eukaryota; Fungi; Ascomycota; Sordariomycetes; Hypocreales; Nectriaceae. The record is from RNAcentral.